RNAcentral lists this ribosomal RNA (406 nucleotides) under uncultured bacterium. RNAcentral describes it as "partial 16S ribosomal RNA". It matches the Rfam family "Bacterial small subunit ribosomal RNA", at positions 29 to 526 of the family's 1533-position model. The record is from RNAcentral.
AUUGAACGCUGGCGGCAGGCCUAACACAUGCAAGUCGAGCGAGCGGCGGACGGGUGAGUAAUGUCUGGGAACCUGCCUGAUGGAUGGGGAUAACUACUGGAAACGGUAGCUAAUCCCGCAUAACAUCAGCUGUGCCCAGAUGGGAUUGGCUAGGAGGUGGGGGAAUGGCUCACAUAGGCGACGAUCCCUAGCGGGUCUGAGAGGAUGACCAGCCACACUGGAACUGAGACACGGUCCAGACUCCUACGGGAGGCAGCAGUGGGGAAUAUGGCACAAUGGGCGAAAGCCUGAUGCAGCAAUGCCGCGUGAGUGAAGAAGGCCUUCGGGUUGUAAAGCACUGUCAGCGGGGAGGCGUUACCCGCAGAAGAAGCACCGGCUAACUCCGUGCCAGCAGCCGCGGUAAUUC